GAAUAGGCCCAAGCGACUGUUUAGCAAAAACACAGCUCUCUGCGAAGCCGUAAGGCGAAGUAUAGGGGGUGACACCUGCCCGGUGCUGGAAGGUUAAGGAGAGGGGUUAGCGUAAGCGAAGCUCUGAACUGAAGCCCCAGUAAACGGCGGCCGUAACUAUAACGGUCCUAAGGUAGCGAAAUUCCUUGUCGGGUAAGUUCCGACCCGCACGAAAGGUGUAACGAUUUGGGCACUGUCUCAACCAGAGACUCGGUGAAAUUAUAGUACCUGUGAAGAUGCAGGUUACCCGCGACAGGACGGAAAGACCCCGUGGAGCUUUACUGUAGCCUGAUAUUGAAUUUUGGUACAGUUUGUACAGGAUAGGCGGGAGCCAUUGAAACCGGAGCGCUAGCUUCGGUGGAGGCGCUGGUGGGAUACCGCCCUGACUGUAUUGAAAUUCUAACCUACGGGUCUUAUCGACCCGGGAGACAGUGUCAGGUGGGCAGUUUGACUGGGGCGGUCGCCUCCUAAAGUGUAACGGAGGCGCCCAAAGGUUCCCUCAGAAUGGUUGGAAAUCAUUCGUAGAGUGCAAAGGCAUAAGGGAGCUUGACUGCGAGACCUACAAGUCGAGCAGGGACGAAAGUCGGGCUUAGUGAUCCGGUGGUUCCGCAUGGAAGGGCCAUCGCUCAACGGAUAAAAGCUACCCCGGGGAUAACAGGCUUAUCUCCCCCAAGAGUCCACAUCGACGGGGAGGUUUGGCACCUCGAUGUCGGCUCAUCGCAUCCUGGGGCUGUAGUCGGUCCCAAGGGUUGGGCUGUUCGCCCAUUAAAGCGGUACGCGAGCUGGGUUCAGAACGUCGUGAGACAGUUCGGUCCCUAUCCGUCGUGGGCGUAGGAAAUUUGAGAGGAGCUGUCCUUAGUACGAGAGGACCGGGAUGGACGCACCGCUGGUGUACCAGUUGUUCUGCCAAGGGCAUAGCUGGGUAGCUAUGUGCGGAAGGGAUAAGUGCUGAAAGCAUCUAAGCAUGAAGCCCCCCUCAAGAUGAGAUUUCCCAUAGCGUAAGCUAGUAAGAUCCCUGAAAGAUGAUCAGGUUGAUAGGUUCGAGGUGGAAGCAUGGUGACAUGUGGAGCUGACGAAUACUAAUAGAUCGAGGACUUAACCAU
Molecule: ribosomal RNA, 1142 nt
Filed under: Bacillus cereus
Lineage: Bacteria; Bacillati; Bacillota; Bacilli; Caryophanales; Bacillaceae
Description: partial 23S ribosomal RNA
Rfam family: Bacterial large subunit ribosomal RNA
Source: RNAcentral